Long non-coding RNA from Bacillus rossius redtenbacheri, 1220 nucleotides. RefSeq lists it as uncharacterized. The record is from RefSeq and is a predicted model, not a curated record. The transcript has 2 exons. Lineage: Eukaryota; Metazoa; Arthropoda; Insecta; Phasmatodea; Bacillidae.
AAUAAUUUUAUAAUAUCAAUAUUUAUUUCAUUAUAAUUUGGUAGCAGUAACAGUCAAAUCAAAAUCAACUAAUAAUAAUAAAAACAACCAGUUGUCACACUUUCCCCUCCCCAAUCCACCUUUACCCUUCCUCACCAACUUCCCCUUCCUAACCACCCCCAUCUCCCACCGUCCCCCUCGCACCACCAGCGCACUCUGCCGUGUAUUGUUCCCGGCCUAUAUAACCUCGGCACCCAGGCUAUUUGCCGCAGUCUUCCGGUUGUUUGUCACGAAGGCUGUCACUUGGGGCUGGCGUCGCAUUGGUAUGUAUUCGGCUGUGAAACUUAAUUUCUGUAAUUUUCAGUAAUUAGUAUGUUUUCUUGUUCUUGCUUGCGCGUUGUGGCCGCGGUUUCACUUUUGGAUUUUCGCCAUGUUUAGUAAUGUUCGUAAUCUCUCUUGGACCCUUGAGGUCGGUGCUUAAUUGGAUUCUUUGCCUCAGCUUCUUUUGCUCACGCCGAGUACUACCGGUAGCUUAUCUAACAGGUUUUUUCUGCAGUUGUAUAUGGGCAUGCCAUGAUGGCUUUGGACACUUCUUGUCAAGCCGCGUCGUAACAUUAAUUGUAAGUGUAAUUUCUUUCUUUUUUUCUUGUUGUUGCCUAGCGGCCCAUAUGAUUGUGCUACGUUAAACGCGUCGUCAGCUUGCCCCAUUUAUCGCACCAUUGUUUUAACUUGUAUUCCCACGGGAAUCAAAUUAUUAUAUGCAUAUUAUAUGCAUUGUUACUAAUAAAUUGGCUUGCUUGUUAUUUCACAUUUUUGUGACUAUUUCUUGCAGCACGAGCGCACCACUGUCGUGGUCGUAUUGCAACGAACCCUUGUUGUUUGUGUUGAUUUUCAGUUUAAGUUGUAGGUGCGGCUACAACUUCUGCGCUACUCUGCUUCGGCAGUGGUUUUGCUGUGUUUUGAUUGUUUUUUCAUGACCAUGAGCGGCUCGGGAGUCAGCUGGAUCUACCAGCUUUACCAAGAUGAGCUGAUACGGUAUCUCGAGGAGAACCAGCUGCCUGCAUCAGCGAGCGACACCGUGGCUUACAUGCGCGCCCGGCUCGUUUAAUUCAUCCGCGAGGUCAUUGACGUCUCGUCUGGUGUUACGACGGCGCAGCCCACACUGGAAAGCAAACACACCUUAAUGUGAAUUAAAAUGGGUCGCAGAAAGUUUUCGGUGUGGACAUAUUUUGAAAAAGAAA